UACGUAGGGGGCGAGCGUUGUCCGAAGUUACUGGGCGUAAAGCGCGUGUAGGCGGGUCUUUAAGUGAGGGGUGAAAGGUUCGGGCUCAACCCGGACACUGCCUUUCAUACUGGGGACCUUGAGUGCAGAAGAGGCGAGUGGAAUGGUCGGUGUAGCGGUGAAAUGCGUAGAUAUCGAUCGGAACACCCAUGGCGAAGGCAGCUCGCUGGUCUGUGACUGACGCUGAGACGCAAAAGCGUGGGGAGCAAACAGG
RNAcentral lists this ribosomal RNA (253 nucleotides) under uncultured bacterium. RNAcentral describes it as "partial 16S ribosomal RNA". It matches the Rfam family "Bacterial small subunit ribosomal RNA", at positions 524 to 776 of the family's 1533-position model. The record is from RNAcentral.